Molecule: ribosomal RNA, 440 nt
Filed under: uncultured bacterium
Lineage: Bacteria
Description: partial 16S ribosomal RNA
Rfam family: Bacterial small subunit ribosomal RNA
Source: RNAcentral
CCUACGGGAGGCAGCAGUGGGGGAUAUUGCACAAUGGGGGAAACCCUGAUGCAGCGACGCCGCGUGUGGGAAGACGGUCCUCUGGAUUGUAAACCACUGUUCCCAGGGACGAAGAUGCCGGUACCUGGGGAGGAAGCUCCGGCUAACUACGUGCCAGCAGCCGCGGUACUACGUAGGGAGCAAGGGUUGUCCGGAAUUACUGGGUGAAACGGGAGCGUAGGCGGGAUGGCAAGUUGGGUGUUAAAUCUACCGGCUCAACUGGUAGUCGCACUCAAAACUGCGAUUCUUGAGUGAAGUAGAGGCAGGCGGAAUUCCUAGUGUAGCGGUGAAAUGCGUAGAUAUUAGGAGGAACACCAGUGGCGAAGGCGGCCUGCUGGGCUUUUACUGACGCUGAGGCUCGAAAGUGUGGGGAGCAAACAGGAUUAGAUACCCUUGUAGUC